GGAGAUGUAUCGAAGUGGUCAUAACGAGGUGCACUCGAAAUGCAUUUAUCAGGAAACUGAUACGGGGGUUCGAAUCCCUCCAUCUCCGCCA
RNAcentral lists this transfer RNA (91 nucleotides) under Clostridiales bacterium. RNAcentral's name for it is "tRNA-Ser". It matches the Rfam family "tRNA". From Rfam's summary of the family: Transfer RNA (tRNA) molecules are approximately 80 nucleotides in length. Their secondary structure includes four short double-helical elements and three loops (D, anti-codon, and T loops). Lineage: Bacteria; Bacillati; Bacillota; Clostridia; Eubacteriales. The record is from RNAcentral.